Molecule: ribosomal RNA, 253 nt
Filed under: uncultured bacterium
Lineage: Bacteria
Description: partial 16S ribosomal RNA
Rfam family: Bacterial small subunit ribosomal RNA
Source: RNAcentral
GACGAAGGGGGCUAGCGUUGUUCGGAAUUACUGGGCGUAAAGCGCGUGUAGGCGGUUGCCCUAGUCAGGUGUGAAAGCCUUGAGCUUAACUCAAGAAAUGCACUUGAUACUGGGCGACUAGAGGACCGGAGAGGAUAGUGGAAUUCCCAGUGUAGUGGUGAAAUACGUAGAGAUUGGGAAGAACACCAGUGGCGAAGGCGGCUAUCUGGACGGUUACUGACGCUAAGACGCGAAAGCGUGGGGAGCAAACAGG